AACGCGAAGAACCUUACCUACUCUUGACAUCCUCGGAAUCUGCUAGAGAUAGUGGAGUGCCUUCGGGAACCGAGAGACAGGUGCUGCAUGGCUGUCGUCAGCUCGUGUCGUGAGAUGUUGGGUUAAGUCCCGUAACGAGCGCAACCCUUAUCCUUAGUUGCCAUUGGGUAAAGCCAGGAACUCUAGGGAGACUGCCGGUGACAAGCCGGAGGAAGGCGGGGACGAUGUCAAGUCAUCAUGGCCCUUACGAGUAGGGCUACACACGUGCUACAAUGGGCGGUACAAAGGGAAGCGAAACUGUGAAGUGGAGCGAAUCUCAGAAAGCCGCUCGUAGUCCGGAUUGGAGUCUGCAACUCGACUCCAUGAAGUUGGAAUCGCUAGUAAUCGCGGAUCAGAACGCCGCGGUGAAUACGUUCUCGGGCCUUGUACACACCGUACGUC
RNAcentral lists this ribosomal RNA (441 nucleotides) under uncultured bacterium. RNAcentral describes it as "bacterial SSU rRNA". It matches the Rfam family "Bacterial small subunit ribosomal RNA", at positions 958 to 1398 of the family's 1533-position model. The record is from RNAcentral.